CACACCUGAGAGUUGACAAGGUGAUGGAGAAACUGGUUGAACUGACUGAAGCUGUGGAGAACAGACUGGCUGCAGGAGCAGUAACAUCAGCGACUCUGCAGCAGAUUCCUACAACCCAUCUCGGGAGGUAAAAAGGAUCCACAGGAGUCUGGAGGACGGGCACAAAUACAGAGGAAAUGAGAGGAGCAACAGAUACUUUGAGAAUCGAAGUUGUCAGAAGACAAAGUGGAAGAGGAUCAGAGGGCCAAAGUGCUCAACA
This is a long non-coding RNA of Melanotaenia boesemani (Boeseman's rainbowfish), 259 nucleotides long. RefSeq lists it as uncharacterized. The record is from RefSeq and is a predicted model, not a curated record. The transcript is spliced from 3 exons. Lineage: Eukaryota; Metazoa; Chordata; Actinopteri; Atheriniformes; Melanotaeniidae.